This 492-nucleotide ribosomal RNA is filed under the name uncultured bacterium. RNAcentral's name for it is "partial 16S ribosomal RNA". It matches the Rfam family "Bacterial small subunit ribosomal RNA", at positions 29 to 507 of the family's 1533-position model. The record is from RNAcentral.
AGUGAACGCUGGCGGUAGGCCUAACACAUGCAAGUCGAACGGCAGCACAGUAAGAGCUUGCUCUUACGGGUGGCGAGUGGCGGACGGGUGAGGAAUACAUCGGAAUCUACUUUUUCGUGGGGGAUAACGUAGGGAAACUUACGCUAAUACCGCAUACGACCUACGGGUGAAAGCAGGGGAUCUUCGGACCUUGCGCGAUUGAAUGAGCCGAUGUCGGAUUAGCUAGUUGGCGGGGUAAAGGCCCACCAAGGCGACGAUCCGUAGCUGGUCUGAGAGGAUGGGCAGCCACACUGGAACUGAGACACGGUCCAGACUCCUACGGGAGGCAGCAGUGGGGAAUAUUGGACAAUGGGCGCAAGCCUGAUCCAGCCAUACCGCGUGGGUGAAGAAGGCCUUCGGGUUGUAAAGCCCUGUUGUUGGGAAAGAAAAGCAGCAGGUUAAUACCCCGCUGUUCUGACGGUACCCAAAGAAUAAGCACCGGCUAACUUCGUG